AUACGGAGGUUCCGAGCGUUGUUCGGAUUUACUGGGCGUAAAGGGAGCGCAGGCGGACAGGUCAGUCUGAAGUGGAAUCCCGGGGCUCAACCUCGGACGUGCUUUGGAUACUGCCUGUCUUGAGUUCGUGAGAGGAAAGCGGAAUUCAGGGUGUAGCGGUGAAAUGCUUAGAUAUCCUGAGGAACACCAAUGGCGAAAGCAGCUUUCUGGCACGUGACUGACGCUGAGGCUCG
RNAcentral lists this ribosomal RNA (233 nucleotides) under uncultured bacterium. RNAcentral's name for it is "partial 16S ribosomal RNA". It matches the Rfam family "Bacterial small subunit ribosomal RNA", at positions 523 to 755 of the family's 1533-position model. The record is from RNAcentral.